RNAcentral lists this ribosomal RNA (484 nucleotides) under uncultured bacterium. Its description in RNAcentral is "partial 16S ribosomal RNA". It matches the Rfam family "Bacterial small subunit ribosomal RNA", at positions 30 to 507 of the family's 1533-position model. The record is from RNAcentral.
AUUGAACGCUGGCGGCAGGCCUAACACAUGCAAGUCGAGCGGAUGAAGGGAGCUUGCUCCUGGAUUCAGCGGCGGACGGGUGAGUAAUGCCUAGGAAUCUGCCUGGUAGUGGGGGAUAACGUCCGGAAACGGGCGCUAAUACCGCAUACGUCCUGAGGGAGAAAGUGGGGGAUCUUCGGACCUCACGCUAUCAGAUGAGCCUAGGUCGGAUUAGCUAGUUGGUGGGGUAAAGGCCUACCAAGGCGACGAUCCGUAACUGGUCUGAGAGGAUGAUCAGUCAAAACUGAAAUGAGACCCGGUCCCGGCCCCCUAGGGAGGGCGGCGGUGGGAAAUUUUGAACAAUGGGGGAAGCCCUGAUCAGCCAUGCCGCGUGUGUGAAGAAGGUCUUCGGAUUGUAAAGCACUUUAAGUUGGGAGGAAGGGCAGUAAGUUAAUACCUUGCUGUUUUGACGUUACCAACAGAAUAAGCACCAGCUAACUUCGUG